This 497-nucleotide ribosomal RNA is filed under the name uncultured bacterium. Its description in RNAcentral is "partial 16S ribosomal RNA". It matches the Rfam family "Bacterial small subunit ribosomal RNA", at positions 28 to 507 of the family's 1533-position model. The record is from RNAcentral.
GAUGAACGCUGGCGGCGUGCCUAAUACAUGCAAGUCGAGCGAACAGAUGAGGAGCUUGCUCCUCUGACGUUAGCGACGGACGGGUGAGUAACACGUGGAUAACCUACCUAUAAGACUGGGAUAACUUCGGGAAACCGGAGCUAAUACCGGAUAAUAUAUUGAACCGCAUGGUUCAAUAGUGAAAGACGGUUUUGCUGUCACUUAUAGAUGGAUCCGCGCCGCAUUAGCUAGUUGGUAAGGUAACGGCUUACCAAGGCAACGAUGCGUAGCCGACCUGAGAGGGUGAUCGGCCACACUGGAACUGAGACACGGUCCAGACGCCUACGGGAGGCAGCAGUAGGGAAUCUUCCGCAAUGGGCGAAAGCCUGACGGGGCAACGCCGCGUGAGUGAUGAAGGUCUUCGGAGCGUAAAACUCUGUUAUUAGGGAAGAACAAAUGUGUAAGUAACUAUGCACGUCUUGACGGUACCUAAUCAGAAAGCCACGGCUAACUACGUG